Molecule: long non-coding RNA, 410 nt
Filed under: Homo sapiens (human)
Lineage: Eukaryota; Metazoa; Chordata; Mammalia; Primates; Hominidae
Description: HSALNT0017328
Source: RNAcentral
GGAACAAAGAACACAGGAAAUAAAAGUUCUCUUUAGGUGCAGCUCCCUGAGCUACAUCCAAGAAGAGUAAGGCAAAAUCCCAUUCCCUGCCACAAACCCACCACUCAUCCUGAAGGACUGAAACCCGGAGAGUCAUGGAACAUGAGUGGCAAAGACAAGACAAAACAAUAUAAGUCAAAAGACCCAGCACUUUUGAGUCCUCAACUGUAAGAGACCCCACUGUCUUUAAGAAUGGUCCAGAAAAGCUGUGUGUGUUCCCACAGACUAGCAAUUAUUGAUUCUAGCUCGUAUGACAGGUGUCUUGGCAAACAGGAAAUGGAUGACAGAGCCUUAUAACAACUGUAAUUUUAAGAGACAAAUCAAGAAGACAUGAGUAUUGGAUGAGGAACAGAUGGCUUUCAUCUUCCAUU